GGAGAGAUGGCAGAGUGGUCGAAUGCGGCGGUCUUGAAAACCGUUGUACCGAGAGGUACCGGGGGUUCGAAUCCCUCUCUCUCCGCCA
RNAcentral lists this transfer RNA (88 nucleotides) under Cryomorphaceae bacterium. Its description in RNAcentral is "tRNA-Ser". It matches the Rfam family "tRNA". From Rfam's summary of the family: Transfer RNA (tRNA) molecules are approximately 80 nucleotides in length. Their secondary structure includes four short double-helical elements and three loops (D, anti-codon, and T loops). Lineage: Bacteria; Pseudomonadati; Bacteroidota; Flavobacteriia; Flavobacteriales; Cryomorphaceae. The record is from RNAcentral.